This 307-nucleotide small nuclear RNA is filed under the name Cavia aperea (Brazilian guinea pig). RNAcentral describes it as "7SK RNA (ENSCAPG00000002127.1)". It matches the Rfam family "7SK RNA". From Rfam's summary of the family: 7SK was discovered as an abundant small nuclear RNA in the mid-70s but a possible function has only recently been suggested. Two independent studies have found that 7SK RNA binds the CDK9/cyclin T complex (known as elongation factor P-TEFb). The record is from RNAcentral. Lineage: Eukaryota; Metazoa; Chordata; Mammalia; Rodentia; Caviidae.
GGAUGUGAGGGCGAUCUGGCUGCGACAUCUGUCACCCCAUUGAUCGCCAGGGUUGAUUCGGCUGAUCUGGCUGGCUAGGCGGGUGUCCCCUUCCUCCCUCAACGAUCCAUGUGCGUCCCUCCCGAAGCUGCGCGCUCGGUCGAAGAGGACGACCACCCCCGAUAGAGGAGGACCGUUCCUCGGUCAAGGGUAUACGAGUAGCUGCGCUCCCCUGCUAGAACCUCCAAACAAGCUCUCAAAACUUAGGGAAAAAAAGAAUCUCUCAAAAGAUAAGAGACUUCUUCUGAUAGUAUGCUCUUACUGAAGA